GAUAACGUAGGGAAACUUACGCUAAUACCGCAUACGACCUACGGGUGAAAGCAGGGGAUCUUCGGACCUUGCGCGAUUGAAUGAGCCGAUGUCGGAUUAGCUAGUUGGCGGGGUAAAGGCCCACCAAGGCGACGAUCCGUAGCUGGUCUGAGAGGAUGAUCAGCCACACUGGAACUGAGACACGGUCCAGACUCCUACGGGAGGCAGCAGUGGGGAAUAUUGGACAAGGGCGCAAGCCUGAUCCAGCCAUACCGCGUGGGUGAAGAAGGCCUUCGGAUUGUAAAGCCCUUUUGUUGGGAAAGAAAUCCAGCUGGCUAAUACCCGGUUGGGAUGACGGUACCCAAAGAAUAAGCACCGGCUAACUUCGUGCCAGCAGCCGCGGUAAUACGAAGGGUGCAAGCGUUACU
RNAcentral lists this ribosomal RNA (407 nucleotides) under Stenotrophomonas maltophilia. RNAcentral describes it as "bacterial SSU rRNA". It matches the Rfam family "Bacterial small subunit ribosomal RNA", at positions 142 to 545 of the family's 1533-position model. Lineage: Bacteria; Pseudomonadati; Pseudomonadota; Gammaproteobacteria; Lysobacterales; Lysobacteraceae. The record is from RNAcentral.